This 383-nucleotide ribosomal RNA is filed under the name uncultured eukaryote. Its description in RNAcentral is "SSU rRNA". It matches the Rfam family "Eukaryotic small subunit ribosomal RNA", at positions 587 to 972 of the family's 1831-position model. The record is from RNAcentral.
AGCUCCAAUAGUGUAUAUUAAAGCUGUUGUGGUCAAAAAGCUCGUAGUUGGAUCUCGGCAGUCUGAGGUUGGUGUACUUGCUAGUACUACUGCCCUAUAGACUGUAGUUUUGCCAGAGGUGCCUGGGUGCUCUUAAUUGAGUGUCCUGGUAUUCUGGCAGGUUUACUUUGAAAAAAUUAGAGUGCUCAAAGCAGGCUUUUACGCCUGAAUAUUUGUGCAUAGAAUAAUAGAAUAGGAAGUCAUUUCUAUUUUGUUAGUUUUCAGAAAUCAAGUUAAUGAUUAAUAGGGACAGUGAGGGGCAUUUGUAUUCAAACGACAGAGGUGAAAUUCUUGGACCGUUUGAAGACAAACUACUGUGAAAGCAUUUGCCAAGAAUGUUUUCA